RNAcentral lists this transfer RNA (65 nucleotides) under Cavia porcellus (domestic guinea pig). It matches the Rfam family "tRNA", at positions 1 to 62 of the family's 71-position model. Rfam says of the family: Transfer RNA (tRNA) molecules are approximately 80 nucleotides in length. Their secondary structure includes four short double-helical elements and three loops (D, anti-codon, and T loops). Lineage: Eukaryota; Metazoa; Chordata; Mammalia; Rodentia; Caviidae. The record is from Rfam by way of RNAcentral.
GGGGAUUUAGCUCAGCGGCAUAAAGCGCCUGCCUUGCACGCAUGCAGUUGUGAGUUCAAUCCCCA